UUGGAGGGCAAGUCUGGUGCCAGCAGCCGCGGUAAUUCCAGCUCCAAUAGCGUAUAUUAAAGUUGUUGCAGUUAAAAAGCUCGUAGUUGAAUUUCGGGGUUAGUAGGUUGGUCAUGCCUCUGGUAUGUACUGGUCUCACUGAUUCCUCCUUCCUUAUGAACCGUAAUGCCGUUAAUUUGGUGUUGCGGGGAAUUUGGACUGUUACUUGAAAAAUUGAGUGUUUAAAGCAAGCUAACGCUUGAAUACAUUAGCAUGGAAUAAUGAAAUAGGACGUUCG
RNAcentral lists this ribosomal RNA (277 nucleotides) under uncultured Glomus. Its description in RNAcentral is "partial 18S ribosomal RNA". It matches the Rfam family "Eukaryotic small subunit ribosomal RNA", at positions 548 to 833 of the family's 1831-position model. Lineage: Eukaryota; Fungi; Glomeromycota; Glomeromycetes; Glomerales; Glomeraceae. The record is from RNAcentral.